UUAAAUAAAUUUAAAUAAAAUUAUUUUUAAAUUUUAAAGUUAAUAAUUAAUUUUAAAUAAUUAUUAAAAUUUAAAUUAGUAAUGUGAAUGAAAUUAAUAAAAAUUUAAUUAUAAAAUUUUAUUAAUUGUACCUUUUGUAUCAGGGUUUAUUAAAAAAAAAUUAAAAAAUAAUUAAUAUUUCGAUAUUUAAAGAGCUAUGAAUUUAUAAAUAUUAAAAUUACAAUUUUAUUUUUAAUUUAUUUAUAGAAAAAAAAAUUUAUACAUUUUAAAAGAUAUCUAAUUUUUUUUGAAUUAAAUUAAAUUUAAUUAUAAUAAUUUUAUUAAAGUAUUAUAAAAAAUUAUUAAUUUAUUUUAUUAAAUUAAUAUAAUUAUUAUAAAAAAAAUAUAUGGGAUUAACUAUAUAUUUAUAUUAUAAAAAUAACUUAUUAAUAUAAAUAAAAUAAUAUUCUAAAAAUUUGAAAUUUAAAUAAAAAAUUUUAUAAUUUAUUAAUUAUAUAUAUAAAAUUUAAAAUUGUUAAUGUUUUUAAUUAAAUAAAAAAAUAAUAAAAAUAAUAAAACUAUUUAAUUAAUAAUGAUAAAAUUAGUAAAAUAAUAAAUAUAAUAAAUAAAUUAAUAUAUAAUAUAUGAUAUUUAGGAAUUCGGCAAAUUAAUUAAAUUCACCUGUUUAACAAAAACAUCGUUUUAAGAAAAUAAUUUAAAAUAUAUUCUGCUCAAUGAUUUAAUUAAAUAGCUGCAGUAAAUUGACUGUACAAAGGUAGCAUAAUCAAUUGUUUUUUAAUUAAAAACUAGAAUGAAUGAAUUAAUGAAAUUUAAACUUUCUUAAUUUUAAAAAUUUAAUUUUUUAAUUAAGUUAAAAAACUUAAAUAAAUUUAUGGGACGAGAAGACCCUAUAGAAUUUUAUAAUAUUAUUAAUAUAAUAUAAUUAUUUUUAUAUUAUUUAAUUGGGAGGAUUUUUAAAUUUAUUAAACUUUAAAUAUAAUAAACCAUAAAUUAAUGUAUUUUAAAAAAUUAAUAAUUAUUUAUUUAAAUAAAAAUUAAUUACCUUAGGGAUAACAGCAUAAAAUUUUUUUGUAGAUCAUAUAUAAAAAAAUAUUUGUGACCUCGAUGUUGAAUUAAGAUAAAAUUUAAAAGUAGAAUUUUAAAGUAUUUAGUCUGUUCGACUAUUUAAAUCUUACAUGAUUUGAGUUCAGAUCGGUGUGAGCCAGAUCGGUUUCUAUCUAUAAAAAAUAUAAUUUAUAUUUGUACGAAAGGACUUUAUAAAUAAAAUAAUUUUUAAAAUAUUAAUGAAUAUAAUUAAUUA
Molecule: ribosomal RNA, 1300 nt
Filed under: Pachycondyla annamita
Lineage: Eukaryota; Metazoa; Arthropoda; Insecta; Hymenoptera; Formicidae
Description: 16S ribosomal RNA
Source: RNAcentral